Molecule: transfer RNA, 65 nt
Filed under: Geloina coaxans
Lineage: Eukaryota; Metazoa; Mollusca; Bivalvia; Venerida; Cyrenidae
Description: tRNA-Tyr
Source: RNAcentral
AAAAGAGAAAGAUUUAUUCUUUCAUAAUAAAGGCUACAACUUUACACUUCUUCAGACGUCUUUUC